This 86-nucleotide transfer RNA is filed under the name Thermoanaerobaculia bacterium. RNAcentral's name for it is "tRNA-Tyr". It matches the Rfam family "tRNA". From Rfam's summary of the family: Transfer RNA (tRNA) molecules are approximately 80 nucleotides in length. The record is from RNAcentral. Lineage: Bacteria; Pseudomonadati; Acidobacteriota; Thermoanaerobaculia.
GGAGAGUUGGCUGAGCGGUCAAAAGCAGCAGACUGUAAAUCUGCCGGGUUCGCCCUACGGAGGUUCAAAUCCUCCACUCUCCACCA